GAUAACUUAGAUUGUUCGUCCGCGUAUAUAUGCUCUUGUUUUCGUUUGGAUUGUAAUCAGACUCUCCGUUCUGUUUCACUUUUCCGAUCGAUCGAUAGUAGAGGUUAGCGUAGGAGGUGAUGUAGAUCUGUAACUGCAUGAAAUCGAGAACUGAUCUGCGUUGAUGCUUUCACCUUAGAUGAUACAUGGUUUGUUUUGAGUUUAGUAUUCGUGAAAGACUCUUUUUGAGUUGGAAGGUUUGGUAGAAUCUGUUUCCGUUGUAUCCUAUGGUUAUUGCACAGAUUGAGAAUAAGUUUCAUUGAGUUUGUUAUAUGCUUGAAUGACUCUUCUUCUAGCGCUUAUGGUUUUUGCUUUUGAGUUUUUUAGUGAUAUGGCUGAUAUCAAGGAUGAAGGAACCCCCAAGAGCUCUGCUUCUUCUCCUCUGAGGAAUCCUAAUGUUACCCUUAACGAAAGGAAUUUUGCUGCCUUCACUCACAGAUCAGCUGCUGCUCAUCCUUGGCACGACUUGGAGAUUGGUACCUUAAAUCUUAUUAUUGAUUUAAGUGUCGUUUCUUAUUCUCUGUCUUUGCUUGAAUCUUGUAGGUCCGGAAGCUCCUGCUGUUUUCAACUGUGUAUGCUUUUUUCUCCUUUUGCACUGUGGCAAGAUUAGAUAUUUUCAGAGAGUUAAAACGAAAAUUUAAAUUUGUUUAUCAGGUUGUUGAAAUUAGCAAAGGUGGCAAGGUGAAAUAUGAGCUAGACAAGAACAGUGGCCUUAUUAAGGUACUGCGUGUUCACUUGAUUGAGUUUUGGAACCUGUUGUUUGUUUCUGUGGUUGUAUGUAUCAUUUCAUAUGCAGAGAAGUCUUCCUUUUUAUAGUAUUAAAUCACUGAAAAGUUUUUUUUUUCUCAUAAGGUUGAUCGUGUCCUGUACUCAUCCAUUGUGUACCCACACAACUACGGCUUCAUUCCUCGAACCAUUUGUGAAGAUAGUGAUCCUAUAGAUGUCCUGGUACUCAUGCAGGUGCUCUCUCUCACCUUUCAUUAGCUUCAAUUGUUCAUGCAAACUUGACAUAAAGAAACAAACUUAAGGCAACUGAUAAUUAUUGUGUAGGAGCCUGUGCUAACUGGAUCGUUCCUCCGUGCCCGUGCUAUUGGGUUAAUGCCCAUGAUUGAUCAGGUAAUAAUCACCUAAAACCCAAAUCUCUAUCUUCUCCUUCUCUACAUUAGUAAGAAACCAUGGAAUCUACUUGCAGGGUGAAAAAGACGACAAGAUCAUCGCAGUGUGUGCUGAUGAUCCCGAGUUCCGUCAUUACAGAGACAUCAAAGAGCUUCCUCCUCACCGUCUAGCUGAAAUUCGCCGCUUCUUCGAGGAUUGUAUCCACAAUAUAACAUCAUAUUCUGUUUCUGGCUUAUGCUUUGUUCUAAGUUUUCACUUAACAGAAAAAAAAAUUAGACAAGAAGAACGAGAACAAGAAAGUGGACGUUGAAGGUUUCCUCCCCGCUCAAGCUGCCAUAGACGCGAUUAAAGACUCCAUGUAAGUUUGUUUGCUCCAAACUAGAACUGAUCUGCGUUGAUGCUUUCACCUUAGAUGAUACAUGGUUUGUUUUGAGUUUAGUAUUCGUGAAAGACUCUUUUUGAGUUGGAAGGUUUGGUAGAAUCUGUUUCCGUUGUAUCCUAUGGUUAUUGCACAGAUUGAGA
Molecule: long non-coding RNA, 1677 nt
Filed under: Brassica napus (rape)
Lineage: Eukaryota; Viridiplantae; Streptophyta; Magnoliopsida; Brassicales; Brassicaceae
Description: long non-coding RNA (BNAP_LNC002184)
Source: RNAcentral